GCUAAUUAUCAUGGUGGAGUGAAUAUUGAAUAUUUUGGUAUAGGAGUAAUAACGUUUAUAACAAGCGGCGGACAACUCCUCAUCCUAUGGUGUGAUCUACAAGAGACCGUUGGUGGUGUCUCCUGUGCUCUGCCGGCCCUCCAUCACCCCAGCCUCCCCUCAUCCACUCCUCUGAUUACACCCUGGAUUCUUACAGGACUGGUGGAGCAUGGCUGAUUCUCUCUGACUGUGUUCGACUGCUGAUCUGAGAUAUUUCAGAGGGACGAUUGUCAAGAAGCAGAAAAGCGCCGGUGGCUCCGCUCCAAACACAGUAUCGAACGGCAGCGGGAGACGGCUUCAGCUGAUGAUGGAGGCAGAGCAACCAGGCCAGAGAGGUGGAUCUCUGAGGUCUUUGGAAAACUCCAGGCAGCUGUGGAAAAUCAUGCAGGAGACGAUCCUUGAAGUUGACAAGACGGUAACUGAUCACAUCAAGUUCACUGUGGAAUUUAGACGAUUUGGUUUGAGGGCAGUUGAGGUCUCAGGUGUCAGAGAGCUGCUGUUUUUCAUCAUGGUGUUUCUAAGUUGGCUGACAGCAGAAACAGAAAGAUAUAUCAGUGACACGUUUGUGGUGUGUAAAAUAAGAAAUAAGAAAAAAGACUUUGUAUCUAUAACCUAGUUUCUCUCGACUGAACUGAAGUAAACCUCGGUCAAGGACACUCACUUUCCCAGUCAGCCCAGUUCAAAUGAUCAACCCUCCAGUCAUGAAGUCAUUUCCUCCAGGCUACAGCUGCCCCCAUAAUUAUGUUCUGCUCAUUCAGGAGAACAGAAGGUUGUUCUCACAGUGUGUAUACAGUAAGUGUUGCAUGUUUUGACAGAUAUGUUUGUGUUGCUCUGCCCAGACUCCUCUCACAGAAAUAACAUACCUGUUUGUGGUAAAAGAGAUCUGUAU
Lates calcarifer (barramundi perch) is the source of this 928-nucleotide long non-coding RNA. RefSeq lists it as uncharacterized. The transcript is spliced from 4 exons. The record is from RefSeq and is a predicted model, not a curated record. Lineage: Eukaryota; Metazoa; Chordata; Actinopteri; Centropomidae.